CAGACCUCACUACCCGAAGACACUUCUGAGCACGGGAAGGCCGAAAAUGUGCAAUAUGUGAAUUCAAAGAAAGCACCAAAUUCUAGGACUCCUACAAUAAGAGAACAAUAUGCCAUGAAGAGAUAUUAUCAGUUCUGACUUGUGUGCUCACUGCCUGAAGUGUGAUUGAUCACCAGGAAAUCAAGUUACUCUCCUGAGAGUUUCUGCAGAUUAAUCCCCAGCCUUCCCUCACCCUCUGUGCUGCUGUGCUCCUGUGGGACAUGAAGGUACUGGCACAGCAUGAAUGAGACACAGCCUAGCCCAUGAUGUGGACAUUUUCGAGGGUGCCCCCUUGACAGCUGAACUCCUUGAGGGUGUGUAUCUGUCUGCUCCUGCUCAUAAUCCUCAGUCAUUUCAGAUAGUUUUCUAAUAGUUGGGUUGUGAUUUUUUUUUUUAAUUUUUAUUUUGUUUUAUUUUUUCUUUCUUUUUUUUUCAGGAUGAUCCUUUGUCAUGAGGUUUUUUCUUCUAUUUCAGCUUUUUCAUCCUUUCUUUCAUUUGUCAGAAUCUUACGUGCUUUCCUGUCACAUAUUUUGUUUCAUUUUCUGAAGAAAUGGCAUCUCAAGGUAUUCAUCCAGUCUGUAAGUGCCAGUUUUUCAGAUCACCAGUAGCUUCACGGACCGUGAACAAAAGGGACUAAAAUUCCUCAGCACAGUUCACAUGAUUCAAUUUCACCUGAAUAAAAUCAGUCUCUGUCCAGUCGUAAUGCAGGAGAUAACCACUUGAUAUAUUUAUUUAUUGGUACAUAAGAAAAGUCUGUCUUGAAGGAAAGCUACAGAUAUAAGGAUAAUUGGAAGAGCAGAGAGAAUAAAAUAAAUGCUGAUGAUUUGUUCUCAGCACGUUGGAGUGAUUCAGCAGCCCUUCUCUGCACAAGAUCUGCACACAAGGAAGAAAGUGCUAAGACUGACAGAUAUAAGCUGACUACUUAUUGGCAGGUUUUGCUCAGAAUAUGGGUGUGUGAUACAUCCGCCCACAUUAGAAGCCCAGCCACAACAGAGAAGCUCUGUUACCCUUCCAGGUAAAACUUUCCCAAAUAUUUAGAAAUGUAAAUACAGCUCUUCUGACUAUGAGUUUUAGUUACCCCUACAAUUGGUCACCAGAAAAAAAACUAAGCAAAUGACAGUAAUCUAACAAAAAGCAGACAUGAAGAGCUGUGACAAGAAAAUAAGAUUUUUCUAAUGCUACCAUUUUUAAUAACCUAAAAUAAUUAAAGGGAAAAAAAGGAAUAAAAAUUGAACAUAUUGACCAAAAUAUAUUUAGUUUGUUGACCAUUUCAAUAAAUCAGGAAGUGACAUAGGUUGAUAACUAGAACUUGGCUAUUUUCAGAAAUUGAGAAUUUACUUAUUUUACUAAAAAAGAAACUUACCUUAACCUUUAAUUUAGCUUUGCAGAAACAAAAGAAGAACUACAUAUGGAAAUCUAAUCCUGACUGUGAUAAACAUGCAGGGUUUUUCUUGUUUGUUUGUUUUUUUAUUUGUCAUGCUGUUCAAGUUGGCUACUUGUAUAUUCUGAAGGAACUUAUAUCCAUGUGAAUGUUAUCACUAGUCCAUCAAUAUGCAGUACCUAGACAUUUUUUUUUCAUGCUAAUGAAUGCUAACAUUAUGUAUGGAUUAUUUUUUCUUUUAAUCCAGAGUGGAUCAUUAGAUUAUCUAGCAUGGGCUUUUAUAUAACCAAAUAAUAGUUAUCAUCUACUUAUUCUUUCCUUCAACUUAUAAUUUAAUAAUCUUCUAACUAGAGGAAAAGGCUAAACAUAAAGACAAAUAUUUUCUGGGUUCACAUUGCUGCAAUGAUGCAACUUAGUGAUUUGUUUUUUUAAUUAAAAUUGUUCAUCUUUAAUACUUGACCAGGAAUUUUUAUUUUGCAUUUUUCAAUGGAUUGAAGAUCUUUCUGCAGGUAUGUCACCAUGGUUUAAUCUUCUGAACAGAUAAAAAGAUUGAGUUCCUUAACUUUACCAGGAUUCAGUCUAGUAUUUGGAUUUUUAAGGAGACUUUUUAAAAAAAAACUACUUGUGACUGCAGGUGGUAUCCGAGAAUAGGUCUCAGGAGUGUUAUAAAGACAUGUAAUAUCACCUUCUCAAUUUUUUGGUCUCUGUUUGGGUGUAGACAGUGAGGAAAAUAUUAGGGAGGAAUUUGCUUUUGAAAGGUGAAGAUAUUUCAUCUUCAUGAAGAGCUACACAGUAACUCAGCCAUUCGAUCUCCUGUGCAAGAAGCAGCAAGGAAUUCUCUCAGGCAAAAAUCCCCUCAAAAUUUGCUUUGGAAAAUGCCUAGUUCCUCAUGGCUUUCUGGAAGCCUUAUUAAAAUUCCAACUAAUAAUAAUAAUAAAAAAGUUAAUUAAAUCUGAAGUGGAUUAAGUCUUCUAGUGGCCUAUUCCAAAUGACAAAUAAGAGAUUUUCUGAAAUUAGCAGAUGAAGCUGAGCCUGUUCUGUGGAACUUCAAGCUGAAUAUUCGCCUGAAUAUUCACCUUGUCUACAAAGCAUUGCAUCACCAGGAGCACUGGUUAUAUUUUCCCUUAGAAGGAAACAGGAAUGAAGUGUAGAAGUUGAAAGAAAACAAAGGCAAAAUUAUUUUCUGCCUUUUAAAGUACCUCUCUAAUGCACUGAGAGGGUAUUUAUUCUCUAACAAUUCAUUGUAUACUACAGAAAAAUCACCAGCAGACAGGGCAUGAUUCCUGUGAUAUCAGUGAGACUUUUGCCAUUGAUCUCAAUGGUAUUGGAAUCUCACCUUGGUGAGAGAUCACUUUUGUUUUCUUUUUUUUUUUCCACUCUUAAAAACACUAUUCGAUGAAAGCAAAAUUAGAAAUUAUUUGGACAAUGGAGCUGUAGAUUUCCUUCUAAAAUGCUUAAGAAUGCAGUUACCUAUGGCACAGAAAGUUCCACUAUCAGAAACAUUUCAUGAAAGUUUUUCUAUUAAUUUUAUUUUGCUGUAGUCAAUUACCAUCUUAAAUCAACCAGUAAAUAUUGUACAGAGUUGUCUUGAAGAAAAGAAGUCAAUAUUUUUCAUCCCUAGGAAUAUUGGAGCUUUAAGGGAGACUCUGAAUUGCAUGUACCUAAAUAAUGUGUCUUUGUUUAAGAUGUAACCAGUUACCAGUAAUUUUACAAACUACUUAGUACAGCUUUACUGAGUUCCUUUUCACUAUUGGGUUUCUUUAGGACACAACUAAAUGAAUUAUCCAAAAGACUCACAUGUAAAAAGAAAUUGUUUUAAAAAUUCUAUCCUUAAUCCCAUGGCAAAAAUUCUUCAUUAUAAGGAUCAUGAUACAUGCCCUCUAAAAUUGUCAUAUAAGCUUUGACCACUUCAUUUUUAAAUAUACAAAUACAUAGUAAAAUCUUGUCUGUCGAACAUAGGUAAUUAAUCCAGAUACUGACAUUCAGAUACUUUUAAAAAACAAGAGUUGAUUGAGAUUUGAAUGUGGCGGAGACCUUGAACUCUUCUCCCUGCAAACUGCUACAAAAAGCUUUUGCAAAAGUUUCAAAUAGUAACAUUAUAUAUUGCAAAGUCUGACUUUCAGUUUCACAGGUUAACCCUUUAACGUACAGCUGUGCCUCCAGGUCUGUGUCCCAACACGUGUGUGUAUGUGUGCACCAUGAUGAACCUUCUAGGAUUACAAAGAGGAUUUCCAAAACGCUUUGGCAACAUAAAUUAACAUGUCCAGAGUCUAUCAGAGCACAGGCUUUCAUAUAAAUCACAACCCCCUGUAAGACUCCAGUCCCGGAAGCUGCCAGCUCACAGACUUGGCUAGGAGUUUUAUUUUAUAUAUGUAGGGUUCUUUAAUAUCUCAAGAUAGCAUCAAGAGAAUAAGCCACGGACUUGUUCCCAAGACAUUUCUUUAUUAUUUAGGAGAGUAAAUAAGGGAACGUGGCCAAAGUUCAAAGGGACAUCACACAGGCUAGACAAAAAUGUUCCACCACAAUACUGACUCAGCAUAUACUAUUAACCCACAACCCUCAUGUCAAAAUCCAACCAAUACACAACCCUUAA
Long non-coding RNA from Pseudopipra pipra, 4013 nucleotides. RefSeq lists it as uncharacterized. The record is from RefSeq and is a predicted model, not a curated record. Lineage: Eukaryota; Metazoa; Chordata; Aves; Passeriformes; Pipridae. The transcript is spliced from 3 exons.